GACGAACGCUGGCGGCGUGCCUAAUACAUGCAAGUUGAGCGCUGAAGGUUGGUACUUGUACCGACUGGAUGAGCAGCGAACGGGUGAGUAACGCGUGGGGAAUCUGCCUUUGAGCGGGGGACAACAUUUGGAAACGAAUGCUAAUACCGCAUAAAAACUUUAAACACAAGUUUUAAGUUUGAAAGAUGCAAUUGCAUCACUCAAAGAUGAUCCCGCGUUGUAUUAGCUAGUUGGUGAGGUAAAGGCUCACCAAGGCGAUGAUACAUAGCCGACCUGAGAGGGUGAUCGGCCACAUUGGGACUGAGACACGGCCCAAACUCCUACGGGAGUCAGCAGUAGGGAAUCUUCGGCAAUAGACGAAAGUCUGACCGAGCAACGCCGCGUGAGUGAAGAAGGUUUUCGGAUCGUAAAACUCUGUUGGUAGAGAAGAACGUUGGUGAGAGUGGAAAGCUCAUCAAGUGACGGUAACUACCCAGAAAGGGACGGCUAACUACGUG
Molecule: ribosomal RNA, 497 nt
Filed under: uncultured bacterium
Lineage: Bacteria
Description: partial 16S ribosomal RNA
Rfam family: Bacterial small subunit ribosomal RNA
Source: RNAcentral